GUGGGGAAUCUUGCGCAAUGGGCGAAAGUCUGACGCAGCCAUGCCGCGUGAAUGAUGAAGGUCUUAGGAUUGUAAAAUUCUUUCACCGGGGACGAUAAUGACGGUACCCGGAGAAGAAGCUCCGGCUAACUUCGUGCCAGCAGCCGCGGUAAUACGAAGGGGGCUAGCGUUGCUCGGAAUUACUGGGCGUAAAGGGCGCGUAGGCGGACAGCUUAGUCAGAGGUGAAAGCCCAGGGCUCAACCUUGGAAUUGCCUUUGAUACUGGCUGUCUUGAGUUUGGGAGAGGUGAGUGGAACUCCGAGUGUAGAGGUGAAAUUCGUAGAUAUUCGGAAGAACACCAGUGGCGAAGGCGACUCACUGGCCCAAUACUGACGCUGAGGCGCGAAAGCGUGGGGAGCAAACAGGAUUAGAUACCCUAGUAGUCC
This 425-nucleotide ribosomal RNA is filed under the name uncultured bacterium. RNAcentral's name for it is "partial 16S ribosomal RNA". It matches the Rfam family "Bacterial small subunit ribosomal RNA", at positions 354 to 796 of the family's 1533-position model. The record is from RNAcentral.